GAUGAACGCUGGCGGCGUGCCUAAUACAUGCAAGUCGAGCGAACAGAUGAGGAGCUUGCUCCUCUGACGUUAGCGGCGGACGGGUGAGUAACACGUGGAUAACCUACCUAUAAGACUGGGAUAACUUCGGGAAACCGGAGCUAAUACCGGAUAAUAUAUUGAACCGCAUGGUUCAAUAGUGAAAGACGGUUUUGCUGUCACUUAUAGAUGGAUCCGCGCCGCAUUAGCUAGUUGGUAAGGUAACGGCUUACCAAGGCAACGAUGCGUAGCCGACCUGAGAGGGUGAUCGGCCACACUGGAACUGAGACACGGUCCAGACUCCUACGGGAGGCAGCAGUAGGGAAUAUUGCACAAUGGGCGGAAGCCUGAUGCAGCAACGCCGCGUGCGGGAUGACGGCCUUCGGGUUGUAAACCGCUUUCGCCUGUGACGAAGCGUGAGUGACGGUAAUGGGUAAAGAAGCACCGGCUAACUACGUG
This 477-nucleotide ribosomal RNA is filed under the name uncultured bacterium. RNAcentral describes it as "partial 16S ribosomal RNA". It matches the Rfam family "Bacterial small subunit ribosomal RNA", at positions 28 to 507 of the family's 1533-position model. The record is from RNAcentral.